This 782-nucleotide non-coding RNA is filed under the name Staphylinidae sp. BMNH 1274661. The record is from RNAcentral. Lineage: Eukaryota; Metazoa; Arthropoda; Insecta; Coleoptera; Staphylinidae.
AAAAAAAUUUUAUUUUAGUUUAAAUAAUAAGUUAAUAAUUUUUUUACAUGUAAAUUAAAGUAGUGUUUAUAUAGAGUUUAGAGAGAUAUAUGUAUUAAUUAGUUUAUUCGCAGUAUUUAAUUUUGAUAAUUUAAGGAGACUUAGAGUUAGAAAUUUAGUUUAAUAUUAACAUAAUUUGUGCCAGCAGUUGCGGUUAUACAAAUAAUAUAAUUUAUUGUUAUUAAUUAAUAAUUAAUUGAAAUAUUAAAAAUUUUAAAUUAUAGUUUAUUAAGUGAAAUUUUAAAUUAUAAUGAAUUUUUAUUAAAGUUUAUGAAGUUAUUAAAUUUUAUUUAAAACUAGGAUUAGAUACCCUAUUAUAGAAAUGUAAAGAUAAAAAAUUAAAUUAUUAAUAGUUAAAGUCUUUAAAGUUAAAAAAUUUGGCGGUAUUUUAAUCUGUUCAGAGGAACCUGUCCUAUAAUUGAUAUUCCACGAUUAAAUUUACUUAGUUUAAUAAUUUGUAUAUCGUCGUAGUUGAAUAUUUUAAAAGAAUAUAAAUAUUCAAAAUUUUUUAAUAAAAAUAAAAUCAGAUCAAGAUGCAGUUUAUAAUUAAGAAGAGAUGGGUUACAAAAAAAUUAUUUAUGGAUUUGGUUUUGAAAAAAUUAAAGAAAUUGGAUUUGAUAGUAAUUAAAUUAUUAUUGGUUUAAUGAUUUUAGCUCUAAAAUAUGCACAUAUCGCCCGUCGCUCUCAUUUAAAUUGAGAUAAGUCGUAACAUAGUAAAUGUACUGGAAAGUGUAUUUAGGUUG